RNAcentral lists this ribosomal RNA (250 nucleotides) under Vibrio sp. a1s6. RNAcentral describes it as "partial 16S ribosomal RNA". It matches the Rfam family "Bacterial small subunit ribosomal RNA", at positions 822 to 1071 of the family's 1533-position model. Lineage: Bacteria; Pseudomonadati; Pseudomonadota; Gammaproteobacteria; Vibrionales; Vibrionaceae. The record is from RNAcentral.
GGUUGUGGCCUUGAGCCGUGGCUUUCGGAGCUAACGCGUUAAGUAGACCGCCUGGGGAGUACGGUCGCAAGAUUAAAACUCAAAUGAAUUGACGGGGGCCCGCACAAGCGGUGGAGCAUGUGGUUUAAUUCGAUGCAACGCGAAGAACCUUACCUACUCUUGACAUCCAGAGAACUUUCCAGAGAUGGAUUGGUGCCUUCGGGAACUCUGAGACAGGUGCUGCAUGGCUGUCGUCAGCUCGUGUCGUGAG